CGCCGUAAACGAUGUCGACUUGGAGGUUGUGCCCUUGAGGCGUGGCUUCCGGAGCUAACGCGUUAAGUCGACCGCCUGGGGAGUACGGCCGCAAGGUUAAAACUCAAAUGAAUUGACGGGGGCCCGCACAAGCGGUGGAGCAUGUGGUUUAAUUCGAUGCAACGCGAAGAACCUUACCUGGUCUUGACAUCCACGGAAGUUUUCAGAGAUGAAAAUGUGCCUUCGGGAACCGUGAGACAGGUGCUGCAUGGCUGUCGUCAGCUCGUGUUGUGAAAUGUUGGGUUAAGUCCCGCAACGAGCGCAACCCUUAUCCUUUGUUGCCAGCGGUCCGGCCGGGAACUCAAAGGAGACUGCCAGUGAUAAACUGGAGGAAGGUGGGGAUGACGUCAAGUCAUCAUGGCCCUUACGACCAGGGCUACACACGUGCUACAAUGGCGCAUACAAAGAGAAGCGACCUCGCGAGAGCAAGCGGACCUCAUAAAGUGCGUCGUAGUCCGGAUUGGAGUCUGCAACUCGACUCCAUGAAAGUCGGAAUCGCUAGUAAUCGUGGAUCAGAAUGCCACGGUGAAUACGUUCCCGGGCCUUGUACACACCGCCCGUC
RNAcentral lists this ribosomal RNA (601 nucleotides) under Escherichia coli. RNAcentral describes it as "bacterial SSU rRNA". It matches the Rfam family "Bacterial small subunit ribosomal RNA", at positions 798 to 1398 of the family's 1533-position model. Lineage: Bacteria; Pseudomonadati; Pseudomonadota; Gammaproteobacteria; Enterobacterales; Enterobacteriaceae. The record is from RNAcentral.